Silurus meridionalis is the source of this 2246-nucleotide long non-coding RNA. RefSeq lists it as uncharacterized. The transcript has 3 exons. The record is from RefSeq and is a predicted model, not a curated record. Lineage: Eukaryota; Metazoa; Chordata; Actinopteri; Siluriformes; Siluridae.
AUUAACUUGCAGAUGUUCAAUUAUGGAUUUUUAUAAAUAAACAUAUUUAAAAAACGGGGGAUUUCUGAACAUCUAGAAAUGUAUGAAAACAGAGCAUGGACUUGAAUAUUGCUCUCCAGAAUGUGUAGAUGUAUAGAUAUCUUCUAUUUAUUUUAUUGUAUAUUUAAUGUACAUAUUCAUGUAAUUUCUGUUCAUUUACAGGUUUUAUAGAAAUUUCAUUUGACUUGUUUGGACACUCAAGUGUGUGUGUGUGUGUGUGUGUGUGUGUGUGUGUGGAAACACUGCACACUAAUUCCUUUCAUAUAAUCUUUAUUCUUUAUUAGGAAUUUGUUUCUUUUCUGACUGUUAAAUGUUAAACCUCCUCUCUUCAGAUUUCACACACACACACACACACACACACACACACACACACACACACACACACACACACAGAAAAACAUAAACACACAAGCGAACAUUUUUAACACAUGAGCCAGAAAAACGACUACGAAAAGCACAUCAACAAUAACUUUCCAUGGGAACUAAAUUCAUUUACAGGUUUGAUGUGUUUUAUGAAUUCGUACUCGCUAUUAGUAGAAAAUAACACCGCUGUGUUGUUAAUGUGAUGAAUCCAGAUGUUACACCAUCAUCACUUCACCUCUGGUCAGGAGUUUGAUUUAGAUUACAAUCUCUGCACAAACAUCAGAACAUCAGAUUUCUAUAAAAGUAAGAACUGAUCAAAUGGACAUGCUUAAGCCAUUUACACGCACGUUAGUGUUAGCUAACGUGAUGACGUCAUAAUACACGCAAUCGCCACACGAAACCUGUGACGUAUAAUGCUAAUGUGGUGUAAUUUUCUAGAAGGUCGUGCCAUGAAAAUCAGAGCUACAACUUAAAGCUUCAAGUUUGCGGUUUAAAUACGCAACAAAUGGAAUAAGAGAGAGAUUAAUUUCAAAACCGGUUUAAUUUCAAAACCAAGUCUUCACGUGCUAGCUAAUCGUGUAAAGAACAAUGUUGUGAUGUAAGCCUCUUGUUGUGACGUCACUCCGACUUGGGACGGGGUUUAUUUGAUUAGUUUUCACCAUGUAACACAAAUCCUCCCUCUGAGUAGGUGACCAGAGCAUAACACACUCCAUCUGAACUCUAUGGUCUGAGUAAACCACACACACGCACACACACACACACACACUCCCUGUGAUCAGGUGUGAUAAUGAUAUAAAUCUAAAAGAGAAAUUCAUUGUAAGCUCAUUAUUAUUUGUUUGUUUGUAUUUACUGCAGCAGCUUUACUGUAUUGCUGGAAGAAACCGAACUUAAAUAUCGUGAUGUGCAUCAAAUUCUCAGACACCCUGUAGAAGAAUCAAAUGAGGCUGAGUGCUCACACACCUACCAGGUUCAUCCUCAUUAUGGAGAAGUUCCUGGUGCAGUGAACUGAUUUUCUGCGGUCUGCUUUAUGGGAAUCGUCCGAGUGAAGAAAAGUUCCCUUGAGUUCUUUAUUCCCUGAAGUGAUCGCACUUUAAAAACAUCUGAAAUUCUCAGCAUUGAUUCAAACGUCUAUCAUCUGAGGAUCUGCAGCCAAUCAGCACCACCCGCUGGUCAAAAAUUACCAGGAGGACACUGGGGACUGACGAGACGUCUCCCUGUCACACAUCUUUAACUCCACUCUGUGUGGCCACUGAUGGGAACAACGUUUUCCUCUUUUCUCAUGGGUGAGAGAUGCUUAUCUCAGGAUCAUCAACAGGACCCACAGAUGAGACUCUGCACUCCUCCUGUCCAUCAUUUUCUGAGCUGUUUGUGUAAGUGAAUGUCUUGAACACGUUGUUGUGGAUUUAAAACGUUAUGUGAAGGUGCAAAAAAUACUGUAUAAAGUGUUUAUGAAAUAGAAAUAUAUUAUAAACAGAAUUGAAAAUUAUAAUAAACCUAAAAUCUAUUAACAGGCAGACAUUUUUUACCCUUAAAGUUUGAGGCCAAAACUAUAAACUAAAGCAUCACUGAAAAAACCCACACGCCUCAGUUUGAUCAUUAAAGCCACUUGCUGAAGGGGUCUGAGGGUAAAACACCAGCACCAGCAUUCAGGCUGAUAUGAGAUCAGAGCAACUCUUCUGCUUGUGUUCAGGAGGAGGGAUGACAAAAGCACUUGACCCUUUAACACCCCAUUCAGGGUCCUAUUGUGUACACGGCUGUGCUUUGUGGUUUGGGACAUGGCCCGAGACAUAAAUCUUAGCACUGUGUGUGAGAACUGAGCCAUCACAGACCAUCACACACCAUCA